UGGGGAAUAUUGGACAAUGGGCGAAAGCCUGAUCCAGCCAUGCCGCGUGUGUGAAGAAGGUCUUCGGAUUGUAAAGCACUUUAAGUUGGGAGGAAGGGCAGUAAGCGAAUACCUUGCUGUUUUGACGUUACCGACAGAAUAAGCACCGGCUAACUCUGUGCCAGCAGCCGCGGUAAUACAGAGGGUGCAAGCGUUAAUCGGAAUUACUGGGCGUAAAGCGCGCGUAGGUGGUUCGUUAAGUUGAGUGUGAAAGCCCCGGGCUCAACCUGGGAACUGCAUCCAAAACUGGCGAGCUAGAGUAGGGCAGAGGGUGGUGGAAUUUCCUGUGUAGCGGUGAAAUGCGUAGAUAUAGGAAGGAACACCAGUGGCGAAGGCGACCACCUGGGCUCAUACUGACACUGAGGUGCGAAAGCGUGGGGAGCAAACAGG
This 429-nucleotide ribosomal RNA is filed under the name Pseudomonadota bacterium. RNAcentral's name for it is "Proteobacteria bacterium partial 16S ribosomal RNA". It matches the Rfam family "Bacterial small subunit ribosomal RNA", at positions 355 to 776 of the family's 1533-position model. Lineage: Bacteria; Pseudomonadati; Pseudomonadota. The record is from RNAcentral.